Long non-coding RNA from Episyrphus balteatus (marmalade hoverfly), 881 nucleotides. RefSeq lists it as uncharacterized. The record is from RefSeq and is a predicted model, not a curated record. Lineage: Eukaryota; Metazoa; Arthropoda; Insecta; Diptera; Syrphidae. The transcript has 2 exons.
UUAGUACAAAAAAAUCUUUUUGAAUUGAAAAGUACAAUUUUGUAGAUAUAUGCUAAAAGGAUAAAAUGUACACCAAAAAUUAGCUGACAUUCUCCUCUGUUUGAAAUGAAUGGAUUUGAACUUAAAAGAUUUAUUUUAUGCUCUAAAAACUUUGCAAUAAUUUUUUAUUAUUUUUGUACAACUUCUCCAACAUCUCAAAACCAACAAUAAUAUUUUGUCAUUCAGUAAAAAAUUAACCUUUGUUCAUAGGUACCUAUCCAAAAAUAAAAUAAAAAAAAAACAUGAUUUCAAGGUGAACUAUUUAAGUGCUAUAGGCUGUAUAUUUGACCCAUUUGUAAUAGAAUCUAAAUAAUUAGCACAUAUUUACUGUCAAUCAUUUUAAAAAGUGCUCAUUGAAAAUAAAUAAUCUAUUCCCAGAACCCAGCUGAACUAUGUUUACAUUUUGACUCCAAACAAAAAUUUAAUAUUAUUCAUCUAGUUCUAGCGUAUGUAUCUACAUUUUACACCAAUAAAAUCCAAGUAUUAGAUAAUUUUUGAACUUCACAGAUUUUAUUUAUAACUGCACACUCUUCAGAGUUAGAUUGAUUUUUUCAGCCCGAUAGUUAAUAUGCGCGUUCUAUUAGCAUUGUUUUGUUUAUUUUUAUUUGGGUCUCAAAUAAAAUCAUCCACGUGUGCAACACCAGAUCCAAAGUGUUUGCUACCAGCUGAACCAGGACCAUGUCGAAUGAUGCUACCAAGAUACUUUUAUAACCCAAAAACAAAUAAUUGUGAAUCAUUUAAGUAUGGUGGUUGUCAAGGUAAUGGCAAUAGAUUUGGUAUUAUAAGUGCUUGUGAAAAAUCUUGUAAGCCUUCCAAAUAAUAAAAAAUCGUAUUUUUGUAUA